RNAcentral lists this ribosomal RNA (376 nucleotides) under uncultured bacterium. RNAcentral's name for it is "bacterial SSU rRNA". It matches the Rfam family "Bacterial small subunit ribosomal RNA", at positions 335 to 704 of the family's 1533-position model. The record is from RNAcentral.
ACUCCUACGGGAGGCAGCAGUGGGGAAUAUUGCACAAUGGGGGAAACCCUGAUGCAGCCAUGCCGCGUGUGUGAAGAAGGCCUUGGGUUGUAAAGCACUUUCAGUAGGGAGGAAGGUAGUGUAGUUAACACCUGCAUUAUUUGUACGUUACCUACAGAAGAAGCACCGGCUAACUCCGUGCCAGCAGCCGCGGUAAUACGGAGGGUGCGAGCGUUAAUCGGAAUUACUGGGCGUAAAGCGCAUGCAGGCGGCCUGUUAAGUCAGAUGUGAAAGCCCGGGGCUUAACCUCGGAAUUGCAUUUGAAACUGGCAGGCUAGAGUCUUGUAGAGGGGUUAGAAUUUCAGGUGUAGCGGUGAAAUGCGUAGAGAUCUGAAGG